UAUUAUAUUAAAACUAAAAGGAAGAAAAUACUUUAAUAUUAUUAGAUAUAUUUCUUUAAAUUGAAAAAUUUGGCGGUAAUUUAGUCUUAUUAGGGGAACCUGUUUUUGUAUCGAUACACCACGUUAUAUUUUACUUUUAAAAUGAGUUUGUAUACCAUCAUUUAAGAUGAAUUUGAUAAAAUUUAUUAAAAUUUAAGAUAAUAAAAUAAGUUAGAUCAAGGUGCAGCAAUAUAAAAGUUUAAAUGGGUUACAAUAAUUUUUAAUUAUAUGGAUAAUUUAUUGAAAAUAGAUUUGAAGGUGGACUUAAUUGUAAUUUAAUUUUAAUAAGAUAAAAAGAAAUAAGCUCUAAAUUAU
RNAcentral lists this ribosomal RNA (354 nucleotides) under Macropodia parva. RNAcentral describes it as "partial 12S ribosomal RNA". Lineage: Eukaryota; Metazoa; Arthropoda; Malacostraca; Decapoda; Inachidae. The record is from RNAcentral.